UACGGGGGGGGCAAGCGUUGUUCGGAAUUACUGGGCGUAAAGGGCUCGUAGGCGGCCAACUAAGUCAGACGUGAAAUCCCUCGGCUUAACCCUGGACCUGCAGUGGGUACGGGCAGACUAGAGUGCGGUAGGGGAGAUCGGAAUUCCUGGUGUAGCGGUGAAAUGCGCAGAUAUCAGGAGGAACACCGAUGGCGAAGGCAGGUCUCUGGGCCACUACUGACGCUGAGAAGCGAAAGCAUGGGGAGCAAACAGG
RNAcentral lists this ribosomal RNA (253 nucleotides) under uncultured bacterium. RNAcentral's name for it is "partial 16S ribosomal RNA". It matches the Rfam family "Bacterial small subunit ribosomal RNA", at positions 524 to 776 of the family's 1533-position model. The record is from RNAcentral.